Molecule: long non-coding RNA, 387 nt
Organism: Armigeres subalbatus
Lineage: Eukaryota; Metazoa; Arthropoda; Insecta; Diptera; Culicidae
Exons: 3
Source: RefSeq, a predicted model, not a curated record
CUCUCUUCUUUUUCAUAAGCGCUCUUAUGAAAAACGUAUGUUACUUAGUGUGAAAAAAUAUUGUGACGUGUGCACAUCUAGAAAUCAACAUGGCUACCGAUAAAGAUUUGCUGUUAGACUUGCCGAUUUCUGCUCCAAUUUUAAACAAAUUCAGAGAUUGUGGAAUCGGAACGGUAGAGCUCAUAAACUGUACAGAGAGCCAGUUUAUUGAAGCCCUGUCACAAAUUGACGUCAAAUGGAAGUUCGGCCAUAUAUGGAAAAUAAUUACAGAUUGGCGUGCAAGAAACGGACUGGAAAACGUUCAAAUUGUAUAUGUCGAUGAACCAUCCCAUCUAGAGAGAACAGCCCCGGAGAAUUUGGAUGACUUGGAAAAUGUAAGUCGUCGUG